Molecule: ribosomal RNA, 507 nt
Filed under: uncultured archaeon
Lineage: Archaea
Description: bacterial SSU rRNA
Rfam family: Archaeal small subunit ribosomal RNA
Source: RNAcentral
GCAAUGUGAGAAAUCGCGACGGGGGGAUCCCAAGUGCCAUUCUUAACGGGAUGGCUUUUCAUUAGUGUAAAGAGCUUUUGGAAUAAGGGCUGGGCAAGACCGGUGCCAGCCGCCGCGGUAACACCGGCAGCUCUAGUGGUAGCAGUUUUUAUUGGGCCUAAAGCGUCCGUAGCCGGUUUAAUAAGUCUCUGGUGAAAUCCUGUAGCUUAACUGUGGGAAUUGCUGGAGAUACUAUUAGACUUGAGACCGGGAGAGGUUAGAGGUACUCCCAGGGUAGAGGUGAAAUUCUGUAAUCCUGGGAGGACCGCCUGUUGCGAAGGCGUCUAACUGGAACGGUUCUGACGGUGAGGGACGAAAGUUAGGGGCGCGAACCGGAUUAGAUACCCGGGUAGUCCUAACUGUAAACGGUGCGGACUUGGUGUUGGGGUGGCUUUGAGCUGCUUCAGUGCCGAAGGGAAGCUGUUAAGUCCGCCGCCUGGGAAGUACGGUCGCAAGACUGAAACUUAA